UGGAGGACAGAUCUAUGAAAUGUCACUUACCUCACUAUUCAAAACAAAAGAACCUGGAGGACAGAUCUAUGAAAUGUCACUUACUUCACUAUCACUUCCACGAAGAGAAUAUAAUAUAUGACUUUUGUUUUAAAAGUUUGGUCAUUUGAUAGUUUUUCAACUAAGUUGCUACCUCGUAACACCAAUAUGCUUUAUCACUCCGGAGGCACUGGUAGACCAUCCUUCUCUUCCGGUCCUCUGUUCCAUUAGAUCUUACUGCAAUGUCAGAAGGAAUAUAACACCACCAAAUUCAUUGUCGAUUCCAUCUUAAUGUCAUGUACAAUUGCAAAUAGAUUAGCAAACACUGCUUAAAGUCAAAGAAAAUUAACGAGAAUUAGGACUUUACUCACCAAAAAAUUCACUCAAAAUUUUCGAGAAAUUUUAAUCUUAUUUCCUAACCUAUAAGAUAUACGUAGUGAAUAACUGCUCCUUAAUCACACGUAACCACACAAAUCCAUCGCCAUAGGUCGACAGACAGUAUAAGAAAUGAAGUCAUGCAAAUCAGCAGAUGGGAAAC
Molecule: long non-coding RNA, 556 nt
Filed under: Gossypium barbadense (sea-island cotton)
Lineage: Eukaryota; Viridiplantae; Streptophyta; Magnoliopsida; Malvales; Malvaceae
Description: long non-coding RNA (GBAR_LNC007569)
Source: RNAcentral